This 779-nucleotide ribosomal RNA is filed under the name uncultured Neocallimastigales. RNAcentral's name for it is "partial large subunit ribosomal RNA". It matches the Rfam family "Eukaryotic large subunit ribosomal RNA", at positions 27 to 634 of the family's 3401-position model. Lineage: Eukaryota; Fungi; Neocallimastigomycota; Neocallimastigomycetes; Neocallimastigales. The record is from RNAcentral.
GUCUAUAUACGUAUAGCAUAUCAAUAAGCGGAGGAAAAGAAACUAACUAGGAUUCCCUCAGUAACGGCGAGUGAAGCGGGAAGAGCUCAAAUUUGAAAUCUUCAAGGUUCUACCUUGACGAAUUGUAGUUUAAAGAAGUGUUUUCUGUUGGAAUUUUGGUAAAAGUUCUUUGGAAAUAGGACAUCAAUAGAGGGUGAGAAUCCCGUAUUUGACCAUUAUUUCCAACUUUGUGAUACACUUUCAAAGAGUCGGAUUGUUUGGGAAUGCAGUCCAAAAUGGGUGGUAAAUUUCAUCUAAAGCUAAAUAUUGGCGAGAGACCGAUAGCGAACAAGUACCGUGAGGGAAAGAUGAAAAGAACUUUGAAAAGAGAGUUAAACAGUACGUGAAAUUGUCAAAAGGGAAGCGUUUGACACCAGUGUUGUUUUCUCGAAAAUCAAUUAAAAAUGACAUGAUUUUGUGUUGUAUUGACCUUUAUCAAGCUUUCUUCACUUUUUUCAUUGUCUUUUUUAAUGCACUUUUCGUUUAACAAGUCAACAUCAAUUUCUUUUGUUGUAAAAGGGUCAUUGGAAGGUGGCUUUCUUUUCGGAGAAAGUGUUUAUAGCCUUUGACUUCUGCAAUCGGAGAGAUUGAGGUCUGCAGCGUAGAUCCUUCGGGGUUAGAUAGCAUUUGUGCUAAGUUAUAGCCUUUCAUAGACAACUUGUUGACUAUGAUCAGUCAUGUAGCUUACUCGCUUAUGCUAUUUUACCUACGCUUAGGAUGUUGACGAUCAGCUGAGCGCG